ACAGGAACCUCAGGGCUUUUCCUCUUGCACCCAUUGCAUGGGGACUUCCCCACCGUGUCCUCGGGGACCGAAGUGGGACAUACCUAUUUCUGGGGAGUGGUGGUGUCAUCUAGAGACAUCUGUGCUCCCAGGAAGGCUGGAUUGCAGCCUCCCUCUUUGUGGCAGCCUCUGCAGGGCCGAUCACCAGCAGCACGUCUGUCCUGCACAUCUCCCUUUUGCUCCCUGCUCUCCCAGCCCGGGAGGCUCCCAGGUGUGCUGGGGGUGCUGGGCUGCCUGCUGCUCACCUCCUUUGUUUUCCAGGAGCUGCUAUUGAGAGGGAAACAGGUGGAUCCCAGGGGAUCCCAGCCUGCUGAGAAGUCACGCAGCACAGUCUCCAGAGUUCAGCACUGCCACGGCCACCACUGCCCUGGGCACAGUUCCUGCCAGAAGGGCAGCAAGGAUCUGCCUGAUUUAUUUUUCUGUCCUGGCUCAAAAACUUGUCGUGGCUUUCUGCUUUUGGGCCAGAAGAGCUCAGAGAUGCCUGAUAAGUCUUGGUCCUUACCCAACAGAAUGCAUGUUGACCAAGCCCAUGUGAGGAGGCAACAGUGUGUGGCUGGGAAAACCCACCUCCUGGAGAAGAGGGUGAGACAGAGCUGAGAACCAAGCCCUCCUCUGUGUGCUCCUCUGUGUGCUCCUCCUGGGUCACACUCUUCCUCUGGGCUCUAUUUGUUUUACUCUUAACAUUUACACACAGUCUGCUAGAAGGUUACCUGCCUUUCAGUCUCCUCUUGGUUGUGCCAGUUGAUGUAACAAGGGACAUUGACCAAAAGCUGCAGGGUGGGAUGAGCUGGGAGAGUGGGGCUGUCUGGGACACCAGAUGUGAGGGGGAAUCUCUGUUCCUGGAGAUUUUCAAGGCUUGACCAGACGAAGCCAUGGUGUUGGUGAUAGCAGGUUGGACUAAAGACCCCCAGACAUCCCUGCUAACAACUCUGGGAUUCUCUGAAGUCCUUUCUGUGCCCUGAGUUAAAAUCCCUGAGCUGAUCAACUGCAAAACCUUCCUGGGCUUUCCAGAUCCCAGGUAGCCAUCAGUAAAGCUACAGGAAGCCUGUCAGCCAUCCUAAAGUAUUCCUCACCUCAUUUCUGCUCAGGCUGAGGAUCUUCCCCACCCUUUGGCUGGCCAGGAAGAUGCAUGUGAAGAUGAGUGAGGUGCAGGUGCCUCCCCAGGCACGUGAAUUGCACGUGUGGGUGAGUGGCUGCAGGAGCUGCCAGCUGCAGACAAAAGUGCAGGAGACAAAGACAAAAGCAGUUGGUAUGAAAUCCUGUUUAAUUACAAAAAGUAGUGAUACAGGCUCAGUCUGUGUGUAUGAAAGCAAAUUACUGAGCUAGAGGAACAUCGAGAGAAGAUCUUAAAAGGAAUUGAGGCACUUCUUGGCACUUCUCCCCAAAAUGUAUCUACUAAGUAAUGAAAAUUAAAUCUCCUAUUGAAACAAAGAGUUCAAUAAACUAUAUUUAUCAUAUUGUGCUUUCUUUUGAAA
Molecule: long non-coding RNA, 1514 nt
Organism: Apus apus (common swift)
Lineage: Eukaryota; Metazoa; Chordata; Aves; Apodiformes; Apodidae
Exons: 2
Source: RefSeq, a predicted model, not a curated record